GGACCUCAAUGGGGUGGAAGACACCAGGAGUUGAUGGGGGGUCACCAAGACUUGGAGGGCCACCAAGAGGAGGUGGUUGGCCACCAAGACUUGGAGGGCCACCAAGGGGAGGUGGUUGGCCACCAAGGGCAAGUGUUGGGCUACCAAAUGACCACAGUUGGCCACCAAGAGUUGGCACCCAACCCCACCCGAGCCCAUCCCCGUUCCUCACCGUGGUUUUCAACCAGGAUGGAGGGUCACCAAGGGGAGGUGGUUGGCCACCAAGAGUUGGAGGGCCACCAAGAGGAGGUAGUUGGCCACCAAGGGCAAGUGUUGGGCUACCAAAUGACCACAGUUGGCCACCAAGAGGUGGAGGGCCACCAAGAGGAGGUGGUGGGCCACCAAGAGUUGGAGGGCCACCAAGAGGUGAUGGAGGACCUCAAUGGGGUGGAAGACAGCAGGAGUUGAUGGGGGGCCACCAAGAGUUGGAGGGCCACCAAGAGGAGGUGGUGGGCCACCAAGAGUUGGAGGGCCACCAAGAAGAGAUGGUGGGCCACCAAGACUUGGAGGGCCACCAAGGGGAGGUGGUUGGCCACCAAGACUUGGAGGACCACCAAGGGGAGGUGGUUGGCCACCAAGAGUUGGAGGGCCACCAGGAAGAGAUGGUGGGCCACCAAGAGAAGAUGGUAGACCACCAAGGGGAGGUGGUUGGCCACCAAGACUUGGAGGGUCACCAAGUGCAAGUGU
Long non-coding RNA from Numida meleagris (helmeted guineafowl), 726 nucleotides. RefSeq lists it as uncharacterized. The record is from RefSeq and is a predicted model, not a curated record. Lineage: Eukaryota; Metazoa; Chordata; Aves; Galliformes; Numididae. The transcript is spliced from 3 exons.